Molecule: ribosomal RNA, 775 nt
Filed under: uncultured Neocallimastigales
Lineage: Eukaryota; Fungi; Neocallimastigomycota; Neocallimastigomycetes; Neocallimastigales
Description: partial large subunit ribosomal RNA
Rfam family: Eukaryotic large subunit ribosomal RNA
Source: RNAcentral
UCAGACGAUGCGUCAUGCAUAUCAAUAAGCGGAGGAAAAGAAACUAACAAGGAUUCCCCUAGUAACGGCGAGUGAAGCGGGAAGAGCUCAAAUUUGAAAUCUUAAAGGGUUUCCCUUUACGAAUUGUAGUUUAAAGAAGUGUUUUCUGUUGAGGUUUUGGUAAAAGUUCUUUGGAAUAGGACAUCAUAGAGGGUGAGAAUCCCGUAUUUGACCUUUACUUUCAACUUUGUGAUACACUUUCAAAGAGUCGGAUUGUUUGGGAAUGCAGUCCAAAAUGGGUGGUAAAUUUCAUCUAAAGCUAAAUAUUGGCGAGAGACCGAUAGCGAACAAGUACCGUGAGGGAAAGAUGAAAAGAACUUUGAAAAGAGAGUUAAACAGUACGUGAAAUUGUCAAAAGGGAAGCGUUUGACACCAGUGGUUGUUUUUCUGAAAAUCAAUUAAAGAACUGUUUAUGCUAAGUUGUUUAGACUUUAUCAGCUAACUGUUUAGUUUUGAGCUUUUCUUUAAUGCACUUUUCAGUUAACAAGUCAACAUCAAUUUCUUUUGCUGUAAAAAAGCUUGAGGAAGGUGGCUUGAGAUUCGUCUUAAGUGUUUAUAGCCUCUUGCCUAUGCAGUCGGAGAGAUUGAGGUCUGCAGCGUAGAUCCUUCGGGGCUAAAUGCAUUUGUGCUAAGUUAUAGCAUUUUAUAGACAACUUGUUGACUAUGAUUUGUCUUGUAGCUUACUCGCUUAUGUUAUUUUACCUACGCUUAGGAUGUUGAGCGCAUGUCUCUCUCU